CGGGUGAGUAAUGUCUGGGAAACUGCCCGAUGGAGGGGGAUAACUACUGGAAACGGUAGCUAAUAUCGCAUAACGUCGCAAGACCAAAGAGGGGGACCUUAGGGCCUCUUGCCAUCGGAUGUGCCCAGAUGGGAUUAGCUAGUAGGUGGGGUAAUGGCUCACCUAGGCGACGAUCCCUAGCUGGUCUGAGAGGAUGACCAGCCACACUGGAACUGAGACACGGUCCAG
Molecule: ribosomal RNA, 228 nt
Filed under: uncultured bacterium
Lineage: Bacteria
Description: partial 16S ribosomal RNA
Rfam family: Bacterial small subunit ribosomal RNA
Source: RNAcentral